This is a long non-coding RNA of Lutra lutra (Eurasian river otter), 332 nucleotides long. RefSeq lists it as uncharacterized. The transcript has 3 exons. Lineage: Eukaryota; Metazoa; Chordata; Mammalia; Carnivora; Mustelidae. The record is from RefSeq and is a predicted model, not a curated record.
UGUUAUGUGAAUUUAUGGAUUAAUGAUCAGGAAAUCUUCUGAGAUUCAUGAAUGAACCUGGCUUUUAAAGGCGUCUCACAGGAUGCAGUUAUCAAAAAAUGCCUCACCUGUGGAGCUGAAGCUGAGUCUGCCUUUCUUUGGCUCUCUUUUCUCCUCCCACUGAAACAGAGCCACCUGACUUUCCACCCUGUUUCUAAUCUCAUUCCUGCAAUUUCUACUGAUGAAGUCCCAACUCCAGCCAUGGCCAAUAUUAGCUAGAUGAUUCUUUGAAUCUGGCUAAUGUGGAGUCUUGCAAGGACAAAGAGGAUUUGCUCACUAACCAGUAAGAGGUA